This 84-nucleotide transfer RNA is filed under the name Clostridiales bacterium. RNAcentral's name for it is "tRNA-Leu". It matches the Rfam family "tRNA". From Rfam's summary of the family: Transfer RNA (tRNA) molecules are approximately 80 nucleotides in length. The record is from RNAcentral. Lineage: Bacteria; Bacillati; Bacillota; Clostridia; Eubacteriales.
GCAGGAAUGGCGGAAUCGGCAGACGCAACAGACUCAAAAUCUGUUAUCGGCAACGAUGUGAGGGUUCAAGUCCCUUUUCCUGCA